This 490-nucleotide long non-coding RNA is filed under the name Brassica napus (rape). RNAcentral describes it as "long non-coding RNA (BNAP_LNC015338)". Lineage: Eukaryota; Viridiplantae; Streptophyta; Magnoliopsida; Brassicales; Brassicaceae. The record is from RNAcentral.
UGUGUGAUGUCCGUUUACGGAACCUUGAAUGAGUGUUGACUGUUUGCAAAAGUGAAAUGAAGAGGAGGGCGACGGUUAUGACUGCUAACAGUGGAAAACGUUAACGGAGUAUGAGGAGAGAAGGAGAUGGGAGAUUUCCAUUUUGGAGUUUGGGUUUGGCAGGGAAGCAGCUAUAUUUCAGAGUACAUUCAUAUACAUAGGAGUAGAUUUCCAGAGUAACAAUGGAGGAGGGGUGGAGAAUUGAGUGAGAAGUAGUGGGAGAUAUAUAUGAGCAAAAGAACGUUAAUGACUAUCUUAAUUACUUGGACUAAAUGUUGAUUUUAUGCAUUACAGAUGCGAUUUUUGGGAAGCCGAAUGAUUUAGGUUAAGCUUUAAGACGGCGACAAUGUAAUAAGGUCGACUUUGUUGAGUAACACAAAAGAAAUAGUUUUUCUGACUAAAUUAGAUGGCGUUGAUUUCACAUUUAUAAGAGAGUUGUCAAAGUAAUGAU